CCUACGGGUGGCAGCAGUGAGGAAUAUUGGUCAAUGGACGAGAGUCUGAACCAGCCAAGUAGCUUGAAGUCUUCCUUCCCUCUUUUUUUUCCCCUUCUUUUCUCUCUUCCUCCAACGAGGCACGUGUGCCUUUUUGCAUGUACUUUAUGAAUAAGGAUCGGCUAACUCCGUGCCAGCCGCCGCGGUAAUACUGAGUCUCCGAUCGUUAUCCGGAUUUAUUGGGUUUAAAGGGGGCGUAGAUGGGUUGUUAAGUCAGUUGUGAAAGUUUGGGGCUCAACCGUAAAAUUGCAAGUGAUAAUGGCAGUCUUGAGUACAGGUGAGGUAGGCGGAAUUCGUGGUGUAGAGGUGAAAGGCUUAGAUAUCACGAAGAACCCCGAUUGCGAAGGCAGCUUACUAAACUGUGAAGGACAUUGAUGCUCGAAAGUGUGGGUAGCAAACAGGAGGAGAGAAAAGGGGAGGC
Molecule: ribosomal RNA, 460 nt
Filed under: uncultured bacterium
Lineage: Bacteria
Description: partial 16S ribosomal RNA
Rfam family: Bacterial small subunit ribosomal RNA
Source: RNAcentral